GGGGGGGGGGGGGGGGGGGGGGGGGGGGGGGGGGUGGGGGGGGGGGGGGGGGGUGGGGUGGGGUGGGCGGGGGGGGGACGGGGGCGUAGCAAGUGAGUAGCCUGCGCUUGGCUGUGGGAUGACGUCAGGGAACUGGGGCUACUACCGGCUAGGAGCUCCUGUUGCGGGGUGGGGGGUGGAAAGUUUCGGCGGUUGGGGAUGGACUCGCGGCUUCUCAGCUGGUUGGUGGGGUAGUGGCUUACCAAGGCUUUGACGGGUAGCCGGCCUGAGAGGGUGACCGGCCACAUUGGGACUGAGAUACGGCCCAGACUCCUACGGGAGGCAGCAGUGGGGAAUAUUGCACAAUGGGCGGAAGCCUGAUGCAGCAACGCCGCGUGCGGGAUGACGGCCUUCGGGUUGUAAACCGCUUUCGCCUGUGACGAAGCGUGAGUGACGGUAAUGGGUAAAGAAGCACCGGCUAACUACGUG
RNAcentral lists this ribosomal RNA (468 nucleotides) under uncultured bacterium. RNAcentral's name for it is "partial 16S ribosomal RNA". The stretch from base 53 to 468 matches the Rfam family "Bacterial small subunit ribosomal RNA", at positions 39 to 507 of the family's 1533-position model. The record is from RNAcentral.